UACGUAGGGGGCUAGCGUUGUCCGGAAUCAUUGGGCGUAAAGCGCGUGUAGGCGGUCCGGUAAGUCCGCUGUGAAAGUCGGGGGCUCAACCCUCGGAUGCCGGUGGAUACUGUCGGGCUAGAGUCCGGAAGAGGCGAGUGGAAUUCCUGGUGUAGCGGUGGAAUGCGCAGAUAUCAGGAGGAACACCGAUAGCGAAGGCAGCUCGCUGGGACGGUACUGACGCUGAGGUGCGAAAGCGUGGGGAGCGAACAGG
This 253-nucleotide ribosomal RNA is filed under the name uncultured bacterium. RNAcentral's name for it is "partial 16S ribosomal RNA". It matches the Rfam family "Bacterial small subunit ribosomal RNA", at positions 524 to 776 of the family's 1533-position model. The record is from RNAcentral.